RNAcentral lists this ribosomal RNA (487 nucleotides) under uncultured Eubacteriales bacterium. Its description in RNAcentral is "uncultured Clostridiales bacterium partial 16S ribosomal RNA". Lineage: Bacteria; Bacillati; Bacillota; Clostridia; Eubacteriales. The record is from RNAcentral.
CACGUAGUUAGCCGUAGCUUAUUCUACAGGUACUGUCAUUAUCUUCCCUGUCUAAAGCAGUUUACAAUCCGAAAACCUUCUUCCUGCACGCGGCGUCACUGCGUCAGAGUUUCCUCCAUUGCGCAAUAUUCCCGACUGCUGCCUCCCGUAGGAGUCUGGGCCGUAUCUCAGUCCCAAUGUGGCCGUUCAACCUCUCAGUCCGGCUACUGAUCGUCGACUUGGUAGGCCGUUACCCCACCAACUAUCUAAUCAGACGCAAGCCCAUCUAUCAGCGGAUUGCUCCUUUCCCAUUUAUAUCAUGUGAUAUUCAUGGCAUAUGCGGUAUUAGCAGUCAUUUCUAACUGUUGUUCCCCUCUGAUAGGCAGGUUGCUUACGUGUUACUCACCAGUCCGCCACUAACCGCUCCAAUAGUAAACUAAUGGUUAAGUCCGUUCGACUUGCAUGUCUUAUGUGCGCCGCCAGCGUUUUAUCCUGAGCCAGGAUCAAA